AAAAAGGGCAUUCGGUGUUGGUGCCGUGCGUUGUACUACGUGCAGCGUACAGAAUCGCCAUCAAGAGAUUCUGAAUGCAUAAUUUUUAGAAGAGGGGUAGUUGGUUGUCGUUUACACCGGCACCCCU
This is a small nuclear RNA of Ornithodoros turicata, 127 nucleotides long. RefSeq annotates it as U11 spliceosomal RNA. The record is from RefSeq and is a predicted model, not a curated record. The transcript has a single exon. NCBI's taxonomy places the organism in Eukaryota, Metazoa, Arthropoda, Arachnida, Ixodida, Argasidae.